UGAAACCAAAAGAUAGUUUAAAACUCCUCAUCAGUAAUUAAAACAAAACAAUAAUCCAUAAUACUCAUUACAUUGUCAAAAUCCAAACUUAAUCAAAACAAGGUAAUAGUGGAGCGCCUAAGACAUCGAAUCAAACAGCCUUGAAAGAUAAACAAGGCAUACUGACCCAAAACUGAAGAAGCAGGAACACUCAACAAGGUUCACCUGCUAUCAGAAACUAAGAACCUGAAAUAAUAUUAAGAAUGAGGGGUGAGUUCAACCAACUCAGUGAGGGAAUAAUAAUUAAUAUACAUUUUAGAUAUUCUUGAUAUUAAUAGUUCGCAAGAUCAUCAUUUAUCUUGAUGUACAUAUACAUAUACAUAUACAUAUACAUAUCAUAUACAUACUAAACGUAUCAUCAUAACGUAGUGGACUAUAUGUCAGAGAUCAGAUGACACCCGAAGGUGACCAGAUGACACCCGAAGGUGACCAGAUGACACUCGAAAGUGACCAGAUGACACCCGAAGGUGACCACUGUGGGAUGAUCAGUCACCACAGGCUGAUGCCUCUCUCACCAGCUAGGUAUACAUACAGAAUACUAUGUGCACAUAGGCUAACUACUCUCCGUUAGCAUGGAGUUACUGACAAGUCCCAUAUCAAGACAUAAUAGAUAUUCACAUAAUCAUCAAAGAAACGUAUAUCAUAUCAAAUAGGAUUUACUUUGACAGAUUGCGAGUGCAAAUUCAAGAAUAAAUGAGUACUCGGAAAAUAAGCAACAUAUAUAAUUAUUCAAGGAAUUAACGAGUUGUACUCAUUGUAUAAUCAACAUACAUAUUUACUUAUCAUAUAUGCAUAUUAAAGAUUAUCCCACUCACCCGGAAAAUAUAGAACUAAAGGAAUGUCAGACGAAAGACCCGAAAAUCCUAUUGAGGAUCGUUAGGAGAACCUACAACAAUAUGAAAAUAUACUCAAAAGCAACUCAAACAAGAGAUCCCAAUGCAUAAAAUAAAACCAGGUUUAGUCUCCUAAGUUUAUGGACUAAAACGACAAUUUUCCAAAACAGGGACCAAAACGUAAUUUUACCAAAACUGGACCAAUCUGGAAAAUACAUAACUAUACUGAAUUUUCACCCAUAAACCAUCCUUAAUUCUGUCUAGAACGAACCAGGGACCGAACUGUAAUUUUCAUAAAGUUCAGGGACUAAAAUGUAAAUUCCCAAAAUUGAGGGACCAAACUGAAAAUAUUCCAAAUCAAUUAUCAAACUCAGAUUCAUCAUCCUUAACCUCAUAUAACACUGUCCAGAAUCUCAAAAUACAAGUAGGGGUCAAAUUAUAAUUUUCCCAAAGUUUAGGGACUAAACUGUAAUUUCACAAAUUGAGGGACCAAAUUGAAUUUUCGUCAUCUUCAACCUCAAACCCAGAAUUUCACAGAUUACCUACUGUCAUCUACUGAAUUCUAACACAAUUUCACCAUUCAAAUAAAAUCAUAACUCAAAAUUAUCAUCUUUACCUACAAUCUCUCACAAUCAACUAAUUAACCAAUUACCCAUAACAAUCAACCCAUAACCUUCCAAUUAAUUCAUCACUCAAACUCAAAACACAAUAUUCAAAACCCUAACAUUUAUCAAAACAGAACUUAAAGCUUAAAGAACACAUAUUUAUACAUAAUCUUACCUUUAAACUUAUUUCCUCCAACUCCUUUCCUUUUUCCCUUAUUUUCCCCUCUUUUCUCUUCUUCUUCUUCCUCCUCCCUUCUCUCUCACGGUUUGCUCCUUCCAUUUUCAGAUCCCUCUUUCUUUCUUCUUCUUUCUUCUAUUUAUAUUUAUCAACUAUUGUUCAAUUACCACAAUACCCCUCAUUUAAUUAUACUUACUUUUAAGCCUCCAAGGGCUUGGUUGGCCUUUCCUACUAAUUUAUUUGCAAAACAUCACAAUCUCCCCACCUUAUAAAAGUUUCGUCCUCGAAACUUAAAAUUUAAGAACCAAAGUCUUACCAUCAUGAUCAAAUAAAUUAUUUAAAACUUAUCUCUAAAUUGUAUUUCUUAAACUAUCAUUUAAAGUCCACUAAAAACAAAAUCAAUAUAUAGCACCAUGCUUUCGUUGCGCACUCUGAUAUAUCUCAUGCAUAACUUUUCUUAAUUCAUAUCCCUCAAAAUCAAACAACAUACCCUUCAAUUUCUCUUGAAUCAACUUUUCUCAAACAACUUAUCUCAAAUCAUAUCUCUUCAAAAUCAAAACGCAUCCUCAUAAUUUUAUUUUAUUCUUUUAUUUUUAAGCAUCAGGUAAAAGAAUUCAGCCUUAUAGUUGGGGAAUGUCAUGAAGUAACAAAGUCUAAUGAACAACAACAAUUAUGAGCUCAAACUUUCAAGAGGUAUCAAUUAUGGAGGAGAUGUUGAUUGCAAAAGCAAUAAAUGAUGAACAUGAUAAGAUGCAUAUAGUUCUCUCAACCACUAUAACAACUAAAGAGUAAGAUGAAAUGAUAAAGAUUAUAAAGGAGGAACAUAGUUGUUGUGACAAGAUCAAGGCAAUAAUUAUGGUAAAGAUAAUAAAAACCAGCUUGGAAGAAGCUUAGAUGGAUGAAAAGUUGUUACAUGGUUUCUAACAUUACCUCAAAUGAUAGUGUUUCUCUUGAAAUUGAAGCAAAAACAUGUUCAGUAAGGAAAAAAAAAAAUCAAAGAUAACAUGGGACUUAAGAUACCCUACUUGAGAACUGAGGAUGCAUAGUAUAAGCAGUUUGGUGUGCUUCUGUCAUCACAUCUCUUUUCAAAUCAUCCACCUCAGACACACAUAACCUGGAACCAAAUCUCAACACACCAUCUUCAUGGAUAACAAAACCCAGAGCUCUCUCUAACUCCAACUCAUCUCUAAUCUUGCAAAGUCGUUCAUCCUUCAUUUGAGCUACUUUAAUUCGGUCUACCAAGUCUGACAUAGCCUGAAAGUGAGCCAACAAUGCUCCUGAUUCACAAAUCUCAAAACUGACCCUCUCAUCUAAUAAUCAGUGUAACUCUUUAAUCAAGGGUCUCCUCACCUCUUGAAUAUGAGCCAAACUACCCAUAGAUUUUCUGCUUAAGGCAUCGACAACAACAUUUGCCUUACCCGGGUGAUAUUGAAUCAUGCAAUCAUAAUCACUUAACAAUUCCAUCCACCUUCUUUGUCUCAAAUUCAGAUCCUUCUGCUGGAAGAUAUAUUGAAGACUCUUAUGAUCUGAAAAUAUCUCACAUGUCUCCCCAUACAAGUAGUGUCUCCAAAUCUUAAGGGCAAACACUACCGCAGCCAUCUCCAAAUCAUGUGUGGGGUAAUUUUGCUCGUGCUUUUCUCGAGACAUAAGCAAUCACAUUACCGUUCUGCAUCAAAACACAACCCAAACCAAUCCUGGAUGCAUCAUAGUACACGGUAAAACCACCAGACCCUGAAGGUACUGUUAAAAUAGGAGCUGUAAUUAACCUUUCCUUCAACUCCAGGAAACUCUUUUCACAUUCUUCUGACCAUUGAAACUUGACUUUUUUUUUUUGUGUCAACUUAGUCAAUGGAGCAGCAAUUCAGGAAAAAUUCUCCACGAAUCUCUUGUAAUAUCAUGUUAAACCCAUAAAACUCCUAAUCUCAGAUAUUGUAACUGGUCUAGGCCACUGCUUAAUUGCCUCCACUUUUUGUGGAUCAACCUCUAUCCUAUUCUUGGACACUACAUGUCCCAGAAACCCAACAGUUUCUAACCAAAACUCACUCUUCAAGAAUUUUCCAUACAACUGAUGAUCUCUCAGAGUUUAAAGCACCAAUCUCAAAUGCUUUUCAUGUUCCUCUCCACUUCUUGAAUACACCAAGAUGUUAUCAAUGAACACAAUAACAAAUUUAUCAAUAAACGGCCUAAAAACUCUGUUCAUCAUGUCCAUAAAAGCCACUAGUGCAUUCGUUAACCCAAAAGACAACACUAGAAACUCGUAAUGCCCAUAACGAGUCCUAAAGGCAGUUUUAGGAUAUCCUCAUUCCUAAUCCUCAACUGGUGAUACCCCGAUCGCAAAUCAAUCUUUGAGAAACAUUGAGCUCCUUGUAAUUGAUCAAAAAGAUCAUCAAUGCGAGGGAAUGGGUAUCUAUUCUUAAUAGUGACCUUGUUCAACUGCCUAUAGUCUAUACACAUCCUCAUUGAUCCAUCAUUGGGACCUCUAUGUUCACAUCAUGCACAUAAGCCAAAAACCCAUGCAUACCCUUCCGUACCAUCCUUCUCGUACCAUCCUUCUCGUGAUGGCCGGGAAAAUACUAGAUGGAGAUGAUACUUUAUCUUCAUGAAAAGCAAAUUUGUAUCCUCAUUAGGUUUGAAAGCUAUUAUCUUAUUCCAACAAUCAACUAAGACAUGGUGUCUUGACAACUAAUCCAUACCUAAUAUCACAUAAAAUGCUCACUAUUUCUAAAAGUACCAAAUCACCCAAUUUUAGAUAAGUAUAUUAAUCAACAUAUAGAUCAUAAUCAAAAGCCUAUAAUAACAACCUUAAUAAGUAAUUCUCCAAUAACAGUCUCAUCAUCCAUAACUAAUUAAUCAUAUUUCAACUUUCUCCUGCAUUUAAAAUCUAUAUUUCUGAAAUAAAAAUAUUGCGGAAAGAGAUGAGCGUCCACGACUCAAAAAUAAACACACCCAGAAAAAUAUUAUCAAACACAAAUUUUUCAUUGAAUAUUGUCAACGAUAUAUAUAUCAUAGAAAAAGAUUAUUAGACAUAUUUUUCAGAAUACUUACCAAAGAUAACACAUAUAGAUAUAAAUAUGAUGUAAAAUCAGAUUUAAAUACAAAAAUACUAUAAGUUGUUCAAUUACUUAAAAGCACAUACUUACAUUCAAUAUACACUCACUAACAUGAUUUACACAUAUACAUACUUUUAGAGCACUACAAAUCAGAAAAUCAGACAUAGAUGGAGUAUUCAGAUCUGCUUGUAGCCUUUCACACAAAUUAGUGUUGGUGUUCUAACUUGUUUAACUCAAAACUUUAUAUUAGAUUUAUAUGUCAAAAUCACUUAAAAAUUCAUAUAAAAUUUAUAUUUCAAAAUCAUACAAUAACUAAUCAGAUAUACAAACAAAUCAUAUUUAUUUCAGAUAUAAUGUUAUUUUUCUAGUAAUGCAAAAUACAUUUAAAUAAUAUUUAUAAUUAUUACUCACUCCAUAUCUCACACACACAUAUCCACAUACAUAUAUUUCAUAAAUAGUUACAAAAUAUAUUUCCUGCUCAUUUACAUAUAUUAUAUAUACUUCCAAAAAAAUAUUUAUACCAAAUACUUAUGCUUAAGUAUUUUCAAGAAAUAUUAUUACUCAAAUACACGUAUUAUGCAAAUACUUUCAAAGAAAUACUUAUAUCAAAUAUUCACACACACAAGUAUAACAUCACACAUAUGCAAAACAUGUAUACCACAUAUAUUAUAUCCAAGAAUAUACUUAUAUCAAAGCCAUGUAUAAAAAACACACAUAUUAUACAUAGUAUAUCCAUUGAUAUAUUUAUAUCAAACAUUCACAUACAUAUAUAUUUCCCUACAUGUAUAUCAACACGGCAAUAAAAAAAAGUUCAAAGAAGACAAUGAGGAAUCACAAUAAGGCGAGAAGGAUCCUAAGCUCCACAUAUUACAAGUUUUUUUUUUUUAAAAAAAAAGACCAAGUUUUAACAAAACCAAGCUAUAGGGAUUCAACAAGAACCGAGCUCUGAUACCACCUUUGUCACGACCCGAAUCCCGGGUCCGUGACCGGCAACGCAGGAGCGGUGCUGGAAGGACACCCCGCCCGCGCUAAGCCUCAAAACGGACAUAUCAAAAGAGUAAUUUAUUCAAAAAUACGCAGCAUUUCAUAAUCUUCAGAAAUCUUAUAUUAUUCAAAACUGAUGAAACCAAAAGAUAGUUUAAAACUCCUCAUCAGUAAUUAAAACAAAACAAUAAUCCAUAAUACUCAUUACAUUGUCAAAAUCCAAACUUAAUCAAAACAAGGUAAUAGUGGAGCGCCUAAGACAUCGAAUCAAACAGCCUUGAAAGAUAAACAAGGCAUACUGACCCAAAACUGAAGAAGCAGGAACACUCAACAAGGUUCACCUGCUAUCAGAAACUAAGAACCUGAAAUAAUAUUAAGAAUGAGGGGUGAGUUCAACCAACUCAGUGAGGGAAUAAUAAUUAAUAUACAUUUUAGAUAUUCUUGAUAUUAAUAGUUCGCAAGAUCAUCAUUUAUCUUGAUGUACAUAUACAUAUACAUAUACAUAUACAUAUCAUAUACAUACUAAACGUAUCAUCAUAACGUAGUGGACUAUAUGUCAGAGAUCAGAUGACACCCGAAGGUGACCAGAUGACACCCGAAGGUGACCAGAUGACACUCGAAAGUGACCAGAUGACACCCGAAGGUGACCAAUGACACCUGAAGGUGACCACUGUGGGAUGAUCAGUCACCACAGGCUGAUGCCUCUCUCAAUACUAUGUGCACAUAGGCUAACUACUCUCCGUUAGCAUGGAGUUACUGACAAGUCCCAUAUCAAGACAUAAUAGAUAUUCACAUAAUCAUCAAAGAAACGUAUAUCAUAUCAAAUAGGAUUUACUUUGACAGAUUGCGAGUGCAAAUUCAAGAAUAAAUGAGUACUCGGAAAAUAAGCAACAUAUAUAAUUAUUCAAGGAAUUAACGAGUUGUACUCAUUGUAUAAUCAACAUACAUAUUUACUUAUCAUAUAUGCAUAUUAAAGAUUAUCCCACUCACCCGG
RNAcentral lists this long non-coding RNA (6683 nucleotides) under Populus trichocarpa (black cottonwood). RNAcentral describes it as "long non-coding RNA (PTRI_LNC004069)". Lineage: Eukaryota; Viridiplantae; Streptophyta; Magnoliopsida; Malpighiales; Salicaceae. The record is from RNAcentral.